AUUGAACGCUGGCGGCAGGCCUAACACAUGCAAGUCGAGCGGAUGAAGGGAGCUUGCGCCUGGAUUCAGCGGCGGACGGGUGAGUAAUGCCUAGGAAUCUGCCUGGUAGUGGGGGAUAACGUCCGGAAACGGGCGCUAAUACCGCAUACGACCUGAGGGAGAAGGAGGGGGGGCUUCGGACCUCACGCUAUCAGGGGAACCUAGGUCGGGUUAGCUAGUUGGUGGGGUAAGGGCUUACCAAGGCGACGAUCGGUAAGUGGUCUGAGAGGAGGAUCAGUCACACUGGAACUGGGACGCGGUCAAGACUCCUACGGGAGGCAGCAGUGGGGAAUAUUGGACAAUGGGCGAAAGCCUGAUCCAGCCAUGCCGCGUGUGUGAAGAAGGUCUUCGGAUUGUAAAGCACUUUAAGUUGGGAGGAAGGGCAGUAAGUUAAUACCUUGCUGUUUUGACGUUACCAACAGAAUAAGCACCGGCUAACUUCGUG
RNAcentral lists this ribosomal RNA (484 nucleotides) under uncultured bacterium. RNAcentral's name for it is "partial 16S ribosomal RNA". It matches the Rfam family "Bacterial small subunit ribosomal RNA", at positions 30 to 507 of the family's 1533-position model. The record is from RNAcentral.